Molecule: ribosomal RNA, 433 nt
Filed under: uncultured bacterium
Lineage: Bacteria
Description: partial 16S ribosomal RNA
Rfam family: Bacterial small subunit ribosomal RNA
Source: RNAcentral
AACGAACGCUGGCGGCAGGCUUAACACAUGCAAGUCGAACGCACCUUUCGGGGUGAGUGGCAGACGGGGGAGUAACGCGUGGUAAUUUACCCUUCUCUACGGUGUAUCUCCGGGAAACUGGAAUUAAUACCGUAUACGUCCUUAGGGAGUAAGAUCUAUCGGGGCAGGAUGAGCCCGCGUUGGAUUAGCUAGUUGGUGGGGUAAAGGCCUACCAAGGCGACGAUGCAUAGCUGGUCUAAGAGGAUGAUCAGCCACAUUGGGACUGAGACACGGCCCAAACUCCUACGGGAAGCAGCAGUGGGGAAUAUUGGACAAUGGGCGCAAGCCUGAUCCAGCCAUGCCGCGUGAGUGAUGAAGGGCCUAGGGUUGUAAAGCUCUUUCAGUGGGGACGAUAAUGACGGUACCCACAGAAGAAGCACCGGCUAACUUCGUG